UCCUUCUUGCUUGAAGUUGACUUAUUGAUUAUGCUCUUAGCUUAAUUUCCUUUGACACUUCGUUAGUCAAUAUGAAAUGCAAAAAAUUCUUAUGACUAGGAUGUAUAAUGAUGUAGAUAUUAAAAUAACCAAAGUUUUGUAGGCCUUUUCAUCAACCAGUCCCAUGAUAUACUGUCUUCAUAUGAUGGUUACACCCACCUGGAAAGCAUAUGUCAUUAAAUCAUAUGAUGUUCUACAAUAGCAUGGUAGCUAAAUUAAUAGGGUGAAAGAGUGAUUACUUGCUGUAUUUUACAUUCAAAGAUGCUUUUGAAAUUUUUAAAGUGAUGUUAUACAUAGGAUCAAAUAUAAGGAAAGGAACUGAAUUAUACAUUGAAAUUUUAAACAUUUAUCAAAAGAAGUCUCUUAAAAUUUAGGAAAAAGGAUUCAAUGUAAUAUUGCUGGUGGAUCAAAUAAACUAAAUUUUUAUCUGAAAAUUACACUUUGAUAAGUAAGCUUGGAUAACGUUUGAGGGCAUAUACCAAACAAACGAGGGCAAGUGACCCAAAAAUUUGAUUCAUGUGAAUUUCUUUCUAACAAAUGAUUGGUAUAAUUUAUGCACAACAAAUUUGUAUUGUGCCUUGGUAUCUUAUUGUAUUUUUAUCUCUCUCUUCUUUCUAUUCUCUCUCUCUGUGAACGAGGCAGAAGUAGAAGGAGUUCACUGGUGUUGGAAGCAGUAAUCGGCAGAGAAGAUAAAGAAUGGCGGUGGUCGGUAUUGCAGUUGGGAGAGCGUCUAGCAAAAAAACAGAAGAUGGUGGCAGAGGCUCCGAAUAUGCUUCCAUCGAGCAGCAGAGAUGAAGAACAAUAUGCGAAAGGUGAUAAUGGUUGUUGAUGCAGCGGCGAAGAGAAAGAACAGCGGCAGAGGUGAGUUGUGAGUUGUGUUGCUGCUGUCAGUGAAGAAGUAGCUGGCGGCAAGUUGACGAUACCGGUGAAAAGAACGCAGAGAUCUGAGAUCCUGCCAUUGGCGGUGUUGCAGAGCCAAUCGAUGUGGACGGUGGGAGAAGUCAGGAACAGAUCUUAGAUCGACGUUAGUCUCCUGCUAACAGGAAAUGAUGGUUCAGGUCGGGCUUACCCUUCCGAAGCAGUGCCAGUCAUUUUGAGCAUACUUUCCAAUAUUGUUAAGUGAUUGUGGUAUGUUGGUUACAAAAUAAUGGCGCCCAAACAUGCACAAAGUGGAUUACCUGCUAGAAGAGAAUGCAAGAUUCAAGAGGCUGCAACAACAGACAUGCAUCUACGUUUAUAUAUCUAGCUUUCUGAACACGUGUGAAUCAACAAAAGAAGAAGAGUAUCCUGUACCAAACAUUGAUGAUGGCACCGUUUUGAAUAUGUAUCUAAAUUCUUAAUCAGGGUGCCAUUUAUUACUGCUACAAUGUAAUUGAUGAUUAAAAAAAACAAAAAAAUAAGAUCAUAUUUUAGUUAAUCUGUAAGCUAAAGAAAUGUAGUAUAGGAAUGUAAGAAAAAUUUUGUGCAGGAUAAUGCUUUUUGUUUGUAUCUUAAAACUAGGAAGAUAUAGGCAUCACUGAGGAAUGCAGUUCAUGAGUUGUGUUAGUUUUUUCUUAAUUCAUUUUAUUACUCAAUAUGUUUUUCUUGAAUUCUAUUGUUUUGCUUUUCGAAAAGAUAAAAUGGUAAUAGAACUUUAUGAUUUGCUAAUAGAACUUUAUGAUAUUGUCUUUAUGAUGUUAACUAUUAUACAAAUGACAGCAUUCUCAAUUAAUUUUUCAGCAUUUCUGUUUUCAAGCUUUUGUAAUAGAAAAAUGAAAACAAAUUGUCAUCUUUUAAGAUUGUAAGGUUUCUAAGCUGUCAUAAGGAUGAUUCUUGCUUCUACUAAUUGUUGAGUGAAAAACUUUCUGUAGAAGGGAUCCUGCUCCAUCUAUUUUCUCUUAAUGCUCUCUCUUAAUGUGAAAAAAUUUUCAGUAUAAGAAUGUUCUCUGUUGCAUGAUUAAUAUAUGUUAUGUGAUUGUUCUUUAAAGUUAUUAUUUAAUUUCCUCCGUCUUUAGCUGUGUCCAGCAAUUAAGAAUUGCAUAUCAACAUCUGAGAAUAUCACUGUCAAUUUUUUUGGUGAAUAUAUAUUUACAAAUAUAAGACUAUAAUCAGUUUUGCUUACCUGUGAUGUGUUUUGCUAAAACUAUAACCAAGAUUUUCAUUAUUAUCUCAAAUUGCUUGGGUUGUUGACAUUCAUGUUGCAAUUGGGGAUUUAGAUAUAUUUUGCUUUUAGCAAUGAUAGUGAUUGUAAGUAGAAGAUAGUUACUUGAAGUUUGUCUUAAGGCUUCUCUUAUUGAUAGUGUCUUAAGGUGGGAUGUCAAGGUUUUGGGGCUUAGUUCAAAGGUGGGAGGGAAAUUGAGCAGCUCACCAAUGAGAUUCCAUAAUACGAAUUCCAUGUCACUAGUGUUUAGUGUUCUUGAGGAUCUUAUUGAGCUUUUAGGGAGCAAAAGUAGCCUCAUUGAAGAGGCAGGGAGCUCGCAAUGUCUCCAAUCAAAUUGCUGUUUGGUUAAAAGCAUCGGAACAAAUAGGCCUAUGCCUCAGGUUUUAAUAAACUGGAAAUUAAAAAUUGUAAAGGAUAUUCAUACAAAUGGCCGAUGUUUGAUUAAACUGUAUCAUCAUUGUGAUUGUUCAUCAGCCACUUAUUCAAUGUAGCUUUAUGCUGAUGAUUAGGUUAUGAAUGCAAUUCAAAUAUCAUGUAAAUAUACAAUUCCUUUUAAUAUCAUUAGCCUCAAGGAAAAAAAUUAUUAAUUGCUUUCUUUUACUGCAAUCCAAAGCCAAAGAACCAACAAUGUAAUUAGUUUUAUUGAUAAUCUAAGGAGAAUAUAUAAUAUCUCAAGUAGCUAGAAAAAAAUUAUUAAUUGCUUUCUUUAUGUCAAUGUUUUUAAUUAGUAUUAUUUCAUAAAAUAUCUCAAUAACAUUACUUUAUAUACUUAAUAUACAUAUAUACAUUUUGUGGAGGC
Non-coding RNA from Arachis ipaensis, 2978 nucleotides. Lineage: Eukaryota; Viridiplantae; Streptophyta; Magnoliopsida; Fabales; Fabaceae. The record is from RefSeq and is a predicted model, not a curated record.